This 612-nucleotide non-coding RNA is filed under the name Pan troglodytes (chimpanzee). Lineage: Eukaryota; Metazoa; Chordata; Mammalia; Primates; Hominidae. The record is from RNAcentral.
UUUUUUUUCUGGAAUCCUAGAGGAUGCACGGAUACAAUUCACCCAGUGUGUCCAUCUUUCCUCUCCUAAGUGUCAGUCUAUAGGUUUCUGACCUCUAGAGGAAUCCCUGAAGCUGUGCAGCUAUACUUUACCGGUUACGUCUAGACUAUAAAGGACCACAGUGUUCCACCUCAGGCAGGUUCAGCGACCUGCAGGUAGUGAUACAGCUGGGAAAGUUACAGAGCCUGCGGGACGCUCCGGCUGCAACUUCAGUUCUGACCAGAGGUUCUGUGAACCUUCAGGAUUUAGCAGGUUUCCAGGACCGGCUAUAGACAUUCCUAAGAAACACGCAGUCAGCUUUUGGUGAGAGUGGAAUCGAGCUAUGGAAUUGUCAUUUGGAAUCUGCUGCCAGUUUCUGAACAGUGAAGCGGGAGAGUUCUGAACAGUGAAGCAGGAGCUCUGUAUUCAGCGAGACUCUGGGGCCUGGAAAGUGGGAUUACAACAUCCAUUUUGUCUAAUUGCUUUCCUUCUUUCUUUUAUGUGGCUGCUAAAGCCCCAUGACCUUCACUAUUUAACUGCUUCAUCAGAGUGAAAGAAUUGCCUUGAUGUUCAUAAGGAUUACUUGUUUCACAC